This 66-nucleotide transfer RNA is filed under the name Ashinkailepas seepiophila. RNAcentral's name for it is "tRNA-Asp". The record is from RNAcentral. Lineage: Eukaryota; Metazoa; Arthropoda; Thecostraca; Neolepadidae.
GAAAAUUUAGUUAAAAUUUAUAUAACAUUAGCCUGUCAUGCUAAAAUAGUCUAAAGACAAUUUUCU